This 26-nucleotide non-coding RNA is filed under the name Mus musculus (house mouse). Lineage: Eukaryota; Metazoa; Chordata; Mammalia; Rodentia; Muridae. The record is from RNAcentral.
UGAAGGGUGAGCAAGCAGACUGCAGA